UACAGAGGGGGCAAGCGUUGUUCGGAAUUACUGGGCGUAAAGGGCGCGUAGGCGGCCUGUUAAGUCGAACGUGAAAUCCCCGGGCUCAACCCGGGAACUGCGUCUGAUACUGGAUGGCUUGAAUCCGGGAGAGGGAUGCAGAAUUCCAGGUGUAGCGGUGAAAUGCGUAGAUAUCUGGAGGAAUACCGGUGGCGAAGGCGGCAUCCUGGACCGGCAUUGACGCUGAGGAGCGAAAGCCAGGGGAGCAAACGGG
This 253-nucleotide ribosomal RNA is filed under the name uncultured bacterium. RNAcentral describes it as "partial 16S ribosomal RNA". It matches the Rfam family "Bacterial small subunit ribosomal RNA", at positions 524 to 776 of the family's 1533-position model. The record is from RNAcentral.